AUGAUUCCUUUAUAUCUGAGUACUAUGGAGAUGGGCUGUGAACUUACCAGAACAAGGAAGGGGAUGCCCGAGACUGAGAUGAUGGCGGCGGUCGCGAUGCAUAGCUGCAGGAGUGGACAACAAAGACAAAUACUCCCUUGGAUUCGUCGUGAUUCUGGAAUGGGAGGCAGGUCGCUGCUGCUACCGCCCAUGAAGCUGACGAUGAUCAGUGGCCGUCAUGCAGCGGCGAGGUGGCGGUUGUGGAGGGGAGGGGAGACGCGCGGGCAAAAACCAACACGACGAAGGAAGGGGAUGCCUCAGGUGGCGAUGGUCAUGACGGUCACUAUAUUGUGA
Molecule: ribosomal RNA, 333 nt
Filed under: Triticum aestivum (bread wheat)
Lineage: Eukaryota; Viridiplantae; Streptophyta; Magnoliopsida; Poales; Poaceae
Description: partial small subunit ribosomal RNA
Source: RNAcentral